CCCUCCCUGCUCCAGCCCGCUGCCCCGCUCCUCCAAACCCCAGACUCUCCUGAGGACUGCGGAGCAAAGAUCUAGGGAACAGCGAGGCAAACCCCCUCAGGUUCCCCAGGCGUCCCAGAGAGGAGCGGUGAGCUGGUCACCCUGCAGAUCAGCGGCAAACAAAGAGCCGGACAAAAGUCGAGGGCCUUUCGACUCCCCGUCUACUGCUCUUCCCUGCACAGGGGAAGUCACUUUCCUACACGGUCCCGGACCUCGCCUUCCUCCGAAACGAAUAGCGGCUCGCUCGUGCGCAGAGGAGCCCGUCCAUUUCCAGAAGGUGCAAGGAGUGGAAUUUCCACCACUGGAAGUUUCAAAGGUCAGAAGAAUGAGCUAUGGUAAUCCAGAAAUCAAAAUCGAGGCCAAAGUUGUAUAAAGAUGAAAAUUAAUACACAAUAACUAAAGUAUUAUAUUUUAAUAGUUGUAUUAAUAAUAACUAAAGCAAAAGAACUGCCUGAAGUCAGCCUGGUCACAGGUCAAAAAAAAAGAGCGUGGGCAGAGUUACAGCCCACUUAAAUACCAUCACACAAAAUGGGAGGACACAGGAAAAGGGAAAAGGAUUCUAGGUAAUAGAGAAAGGA
Molecule: long non-coding RNA, 617 nt
Filed under: Monodelphis domestica (gray short-tailed opossum)
Lineage: Eukaryota; Metazoa; Chordata; Mammalia; Didelphimorphia; Didelphidae
Description: lncRNA (ENSMODG00000031222.2)
Source: RNAcentral